Molecule: ribosomal RNA, 255 nt
Filed under: uncultured bacterium
Lineage: Bacteria
Description: partial 16S ribosomal RNA
Rfam family: Bacterial small subunit ribosomal RNA
Source: RNAcentral
CAAACUGGAGAUGGCGACCGGCGCACGGGUGAGUAACACGUAUCCAACCUGCCGAUAACUCGGGGAUAGCCUUUCGAAAGAAAGAUUAAUACCCGAUGGCAUAAUUAGACCGCAUGGUCUUAUUAUUAAAGAAUUUCGGUUAUCGAUGGGGAUGCGUUCCAUUAGGUUGUUGGCGGGGUAACGGCCCACCAAGCCUUCGAUGGAUAGGGGUUCUGAGAGGAAGGUCCCCCACAUUGGAACUGAGACACGGUCCAA